This 492-nucleotide ribosomal RNA is filed under the name uncultured bacterium. RNAcentral's name for it is "partial 16S ribosomal RNA". It matches the Rfam family "Bacterial small subunit ribosomal RNA", at positions 29 to 507 of the family's 1533-position model. The record is from RNAcentral.
AGUGAACGCUGGCGGUAGGCCUAACACAUGCAAGUCGAACGGCAGCACAGUAAGAGCUUGCUCUUACGGGUGGCGAGUGGCGGACGGGUGAGGAAUACAUCGGAAUCUACUUUUUCGUGGGGGAUAACGUAGUGAAACUUACGCUAAUACCGCAUACGACCUACGGGUGAAAGCAGGGGAUCUUCGGACCUUGCGCGAUUGAAUGAGCCGAUGUCGGAUUAGCUAGUUGGCGGGGUAAAGGCCCACCAAGGCGACGAUCCGUAGCUGGUCUGAGAGGAUGAUCAGCCACACUAGAACUGAGACACGGUCCAGACUCCUACGGGAGGCAGCAGUGGGGAAUAUUGGACAAUGGGCGCAAGCCUGAUCCAGCCAUACCGCGUGGGUGAAGAAGGCCUUCGGGUUGUAAAGCCCUUUUGUUGGGAAAGAAAAGCAGCAGGUUAAUACCCCGCUGUUCUGACGGUACCCAAAGAAUAAGCACCGGCUAACUUCGUG